Long non-coding RNA from Lemur catta (Ring-tailed lemur), 522 nucleotides. RefSeq lists it as uncharacterized. The transcript is spliced from 3 exons. Lineage: Eukaryota; Metazoa; Chordata; Mammalia; Primates; Lemuridae. The record is from RefSeq and is a predicted model, not a curated record.
CAAGUCCCAUGAGGUCUGCUCACGGAGCAGAGCGACCACACCCAGCCACGCACAGUCCAUUUGGCACAGCUGAGGCUGCCGCAGCCCGUGGACCACCAGUUAACCAGUCAGGCAGUAAGGGGAGUCUCCGUCAGCCCGGGACCCAGGACAGCACGCGGGUUUGCUUCAGGCUGCGGAGCGAAGCAAAAAUGUAAAGGUUCCCCCACAUGGACGGCUGAGUUUCCACCAGGUCCGGCCCAGCAGCGUGUAUCAAAGAUAAACAAAGCCAGACGCUAACUGGUCAAAGCGUGUCUCACGGUCAGUGAUACCAAAAUACCAUGCAUGCUGUGUUAAGCCCAGUUUGUGAAUCCGACUGGGUAGAAUUGCAGAGCGGGUGAGACCCAGCUGCAGGAGGAAGCAGUAAAUAAACCAGACCCUAAAAGGAUUCACAAGGAGCUGCAGUGAAAGCUGCCUUGCAAAUCAGGACAUGGCUCAAACAUCUAAAAAGCUUAGAAGCCAUCACGUACAUCCACACAACGAAAA